Molecule: non-coding RNA, 24 nt
Filed under: Mus musculus (house mouse)
Lineage: Eukaryota; Metazoa; Chordata; Mammalia; Rodentia; Muridae
Source: RNAcentral
UACAGCUGCGGUUUGUCUCAUGGU